Molecule: non-coding RNA, 26 nt
Filed under: Rattus norvegicus (Norway rat)
Lineage: Eukaryota; Metazoa; Chordata; Mammalia; Rodentia; Muridae
Source: RNAcentral
UACCAACUGGAGCCGGGGCCAUCCCU